GACGAACGCUGGCGGCGUGCCUAACACAUGCAAGUCGAACGGGGUCCAUGGGAGCUUGCUCCCGGAAGACCUAGUGGCGAACGGGUGAGUAACACGUGAGAAACCUGCCCUGGAGUGGGGAAUAACUCGGGGAAACUCGAGCUAAUACCGCAUACCCUCGGAUGGUCGCAUGGCCGACCGAGGAAAGAUUCAUCGCUUCAGGAGGGUCUCGCGGCCUAUCAGCUAGUUGGUGGGGUAACGCCUACCAAGGGCAACGACGGGUAGCUGGUUUGAGAGAACGAUCAGCCACACUGGGACUGAGACACGGCCCAGACUCCUACGGGAGGCAGCAGUGGGGAAUCUUGCGCAAUGGGCGAAAGCCUGACGCAGCAACGCCGCGUGCGGGAUGACGGCCUUCGUGGUUGUAAACCGCUUUCAGCAGGGACGAAAUGACGUACUGCAGAAGAAGCCCCGGCUAACUACGUAGCCAGCA
RNAcentral lists this ribosomal RNA (472 nucleotides) under uncultured bacterium. Its description in RNAcentral is "bacterial SSU rRNA". It matches the Rfam family "Bacterial small subunit ribosomal RNA", at positions 28 to 513 of the family's 1533-position model. The record is from RNAcentral.